This 164-nucleotide ribosomal RNA is filed under the name Vigna radiata var. radiata (mung bean). Its description in RNAcentral is "partial 5.8S ribosomal RNA". It matches the Rfam family "5.8S ribosomal RNA". From Rfam's summary of the family: 5.8S ribosomal RNA (5.8S rRNA) is a component of the large subunit of the eukaryotic ribosome. It is transcribed by RNA polymerase I as part of the 45S precursor that also contains 18S and 28S rRNA. Functionally, it is thought that 5.8S rRNA may be involved in ribosome translocation. Lineage: Eukaryota; Viridiplantae; Streptophyta; Magnoliopsida; Fabales; Fabaceae. The record is from RNAcentral.
AAAACGACUCUCGGCAACGGAUAUCUCGGCUCUUGCAUUGAUGAAGAACGUAGCGAAAUGCGAUACUUGGUGUGAAUUGCAGAAUCCCGUGAACCAUCGAGUCUUUGAACGCAAGUUGCGCCCAAAGCCAUUAGGCCGAGGGCACGCCUGCCUGGGUGUCACAC